UACCAGCUCUCCGAGUGGUAGGGAUGAUUAUUGGGCUUAAAGCGUCCGUAGCCGGCUUGGCGAGUCUCCUGUUAAAUUCAGCGACCUAAUCGUUGACCCGCGGGAGAUACUACUAGGCUAGGAGGCGGGAGAGGCCGACGGUACUUCCGGGGUAGGGGUGAAAUCCUAUAAUCCCGGGAGGACCACCAGUGGCGAAGGCUGUCGGCUAGAACGCGCUCGACGGUGAGGGACGAAAGCUGGGGUAGCGAACCGGAUUAGAUACCCGGGUAGUCCCAGCUGUAAACUAUGCGGGCUAGGUGUUGGGGUGGCUACGAGCCACUUCAGUGCCGCAGGUAAGCCAUUAAGCCCGCCGCCUGGGGAGUACGGCCGCAAGGCUGAAACUUAAAGGAAUUGGCGGGGGAGCACCACAAGGCGUGAAGCUUGCGGUUC
This 429-nucleotide ribosomal RNA is filed under the name uncultured archaeon. RNAcentral describes it as "bacterial SSU rRNA". It matches the Rfam family "Archaeal small subunit ribosomal RNA", at positions 474 to 903 of the family's 1478-position model. The record is from RNAcentral.